RNAcentral lists this ribosomal RNA (507 nucleotides) under uncultured Glomus. Its description in RNAcentral is "SSU rRNA". It matches the Rfam family "Eukaryotic small subunit ribosomal RNA", at positions 569 to 1078 of the family's 1831-position model. Lineage: Eukaryota; Fungi; Glomeromycota; Glomeromycetes; Glomerales; Glomeraceae. The record is from RNAcentral.
AGCAGCCGCGGUAAUUCCAGCUCCAAUAGCGUAUAUUAAAGUUGUUGCAGUUAAAAAGCUCGUAGUUGAAUUUCGGGAUCAGUACGCUGGUCAUGCCUUUGGUAUGCACUGGUGUCACUGGUUUCUCCCUUCUGAAGAACCGUGAUGUCAUUAAUUUGGUGUCGCGGGGAAUCAGGACUGUUACUUUGAAAAAUUAGAGUGUUUAAAGCAGGCUCACGCUUGAAUACAUUAGCAUGGAAUAAUGAAAUAGGACGUUUGACCCUAUUUUGUUGGUUUCUAGGAUCGACGUAAUGAUUAAUAGGGAUAGUUGGGGCAUUAGUAUUCAAUUGUCAGAGGUGAAAUUCUUGGAUUUAUUGAAGACUAACUACUGCGAAAGCAUUUGCCAAGGAUGUUUUCAUUAAUCAAGAACGAAAGUUAGGGGAUCGAAGACGAUCAGAUACCGUCGUAGUCUUAACCAUAAAACUAUGUCCGACUAGGGAUCGGAUGAUGUUAAUUUAUAAUGACUCA